CCGAGUUAGGGUCUUUUGGCCCGACCUCCAACCCUUUGUUUAUUAUACCAUGUUGCUUUGGUGGGCCUGCCUUUCGGGGCUGCCGGGGGCAUCACUGCCCCUGACUCGUGCCUGCCAGGAGCCUUCUUAAAUUCAGUGUUCAACGGUGCUGUCUGAGUCCCACUAUCAAAAUAUCAAA
RNAcentral lists this unclassified non-coding RNA (178 nucleotides) under uncultured Herpotrichiellaceae. RNAcentral describes it as "sequence contains ITS1". Lineage: Eukaryota; Fungi; Ascomycota; Eurotiomycetes; Chaetothyriales; Herpotrichiellaceae. The record is from RNAcentral.